RNAcentral lists this small RNA (4268 nucleotides) under Rattus norvegicus (Norway rat). RNAcentral describes it as "uncharacterized LOC102551006". The record is from RNAcentral. Lineage: Eukaryota; Metazoa; Chordata; Mammalia; Rodentia; Muridae.
UGUCUUGAGUCUAUGUGACUUGUGGUCAGGUCCUCUACCUGUUAAGGGGCUUGGGGCAUUGCCCUUACGUGACUGGUGGUCACAAAUCUAUGGAGGGCUGCGGAUAGUGACUAGCCUGGUUUCCUAGGAGUCAGGUUAAACGCCUACCAUCCCUCGGGGUCUCCGGAAUUUCAAACAUCCUCAGCUGGGAACCAGGGUCUUUCACUGUCCCACACAUGGCAUCAUAGUCAACGAUAGAUUAACAUGUGUAGCUUUAUCUAAAAUCUAUUCCCUUCUGGUGACAGAACUCAUGCCUUCUUCACUGAAACUGCCCUUACUGCGCAUGUAUCUGGAUGGAAUAUAUCUAUUCCAGGAUUUUAUGAGAGGCUUAGGGCUAGCUAACCUAAGCAUUGGAUUCAUUUUCUCUGGCUAUCUUAGCUACUGCCCUUUGGCUGCGAAGGGACAACACGAUCAAGGCGACUCUUAUAAAAGAAAGCAUUUAAUUGAGAGCUUGCUCACAGUUUAGUACAGCGGUUUCUCCACCUUCCUUUAAUACAGUUCCUCAUGUGGUGGUGACUUCCAAGCAUACCAUUAUUCUCAUUGCUACUUCAGAACUGUAAUUUCCUGCUCUUAUGAAUAGGUCGUAAUAUAGCUAUCUGUGUUUUCUAAUAGUCUUAGGCAAUCCCUGUGAAACGGUUGUUUGAUGUCUGCCCCACUAAGGGUUGCAACCCACGGGCUGAAAACUGCUGGUUUGGAGGAUUAGUCCAUGAUCUCUGUGGUGGUAAGCAGACAGGAAUGAUACUGGAGCCACAGCUGAGGGCUUUACAUCCUGAUUUGCACCAGCAGGCAGAGAUGGAGGGAGACGACAGAGACUGAGCCUGGUGUGGGUUUCGAAACCUCAAAGCUCAUCCUCGGUGACACAUGUGCUCCAUCAAGGCCACACCCACUCCAAAAUGCCACACCUUCCAAUCCUUUCCAAGCAGUUCCACUAACUAGGGAGCAAGCAUUCAAUGUAUGAGCCUAUGGGGGGUGGCCAGCCUCAUUCACACCACCACACGGACCACACUGAUGGACUUGGGGGAUGCGCACGUAAGCCGAGGAGGCCUGAUGUGUUUUCUAAUAGUCUUAGGCAAUCCCCGUGAAACGGUUGUUUGACGUCUGCCCCACUAAGGGUUGCAACCCACGGGCUGAAAACUGCUGGUUUGGAGGAUUAGUCCAUGAUCUCUGUGGUGGUAAGCAGACAGGAAUGAUACUGUUCUAGGAAUGAUACCCGAGGUUUUGCUUUGAGCUGCAAGGAAGACAAACCGUGAAUGCUCUCACUCAGCUAUAGAAAGUGAGCUUGCAGGUGCCGAGACAAUGGAGAAAAGCGUGCCCAAGACUGAGGACUUAAGCUAAGGCGAAGGGAGACACCCAGUGCCACAGGCAUGGUUAUAGCCCCUGAAGCUAGUUGAGUUGCCAGUUCCUCACAUGGAUGGAAUUGUUAUCAUUUCCUUAAGCCAACGUGGAGUUUGCUAACGCUUGUUUUUAAAUGAAUAUUUGUUUACUUAUUUAAAGGUUUAGUCAUUUUACGUGUUCAUGUGCUCCAUCUUCAGGAUCACCAUAGCAGGGCAUCGGAUUCCAUUAUCAGAUUCUGAACUACCAUGUGCUUGCUGGGAAUUGAACUUGGGACGUCUGGAAGGGCGGGGUUUCUAACCAUUGAGCCAUCUCUCCGUAUCCAUGAAAUUUUAUUUUUGACACAGACUGUGGUCAUAUCUCUCAAGCUUGUCUAGAAUACCUAAUCCUCCCAUCUCAGCCUCGUGAGUGCUGCGAUUGUAGACACUCCCCUGCUGGUGAGGACAGCUACGUUUCAGCUCCUAGGUCCAUCUACAACUGAAAUGGUGUCUGGAACUGAGAGGGUCCUCAGCAGAUCCUUACACCUGCCAUAGCCGACUGGGAAGGUGAGAAAUGGAGCCUCUGUCGUCUUCUUCCGUUCUGUUCAGCAUACAUCUGGCACCUGGUGAAGGCCGCUUGGUGUGUUGAUAAUGACUCGUGGAAAAUACACCAUAAGAGUCCAAGUGAGGAAAAGAAAGACUCAGGUGUGGUGAACAGCCAGCCACACACCCAGACUGGCCUUCUCCAUAAUAGAAUGGAGCUCUUUCUCCCUCAGUGCAGUUGAACAAACCAAUCCAAGUGAGGAAACCUCAGGGAAGGAGUGGCUUUCACUUCCCUAAGCAGCCUAGCCUAUCUCCUCUUAACCCCUGUGACCCUCAAAACCCAGUAAAUUCCUUCUUUUAUCUAUCUCAAAUCCUUUCUAUUACUCUCUAAGCCAAUUUUCUCGUGUACUGUAUUCAGUGGGAAUUGGAAACAGCUGGUCACCAUCUGCUGUAGAUUAACUCUUCAUGUACUUGAAGCCUAUAAUUAGGUCAUCGCUCAGCCUUCUCUUCUCCAGGCAAAAUAGCUCCUUUCCUUUAACCCUUCCCUGAAGGUUUUGUUUUCCAAUUAUUUAAUUGUUCUCUGUAGUGUUGCCCAAGAGUCUGCACUCUUCACACAUCUCCAGUCAAGGGCUGGGUCAUCGGGAAGGGUCAAGGAGUGUUGAAAGUCACCAUUGUCACUUUCCGAGGGUCUUUUUUCCGAGUUUAUUUUCAGAGGGCCAUUUAGUUUUUAAUGAUUAUAACUUAAUUUGUUUGGUUCUUAAUUAAAAUACAAAACACCAUUUCCCCUACCCUCUUCUUUCAUGCUCCCCCUGCCCCCACCUAAAAUUCAUGGUCCCCCGUUUCUUUAAUUAUUAUUGUUUCAUACAUAGAUUAUAUAUGCACAUGAAUAAAUGAACACAUGAAUGCUGACUCCCUUUACUGUUGUUGUAUGCAUACGUUUUUAGGGCUGAAUAACCAGUUAGGAAGCUUGCCCUUAGAGAAGACUACAGCUGUUUGAAGCUCUUCAUCUAGGUGUGGUGCCCGGUGACAUUCACCCUUUCACAUUGGAAUGCCUAUUGAUUUGGAUCAACGCUGUUCGAGUCUUAGAUAGGCAGCCAUGUUGUUAAGAUUUCACAAGGGCAGCUUCCCUGUCAUAGAGAGAAGCAUGUCAAAGCAAACACCCUUGUUCUCUGCCUCUGGCAAUCUUGUUGGCACACUGCUCCUCUUCUCUAAUGCUUCAGAAGGCUGUUUAGAUAGGGGAGAACAUCCUUCAACUCAGCAGGCCUCCACUGUCUUGAAAUUGGAGCAAAGAGGUCAAACUGUCCCAUUUUACUCUUCUCCUCACAUGGGAGGCGCUAGAGCACGCCAUGGACUUUGCGGCUUGGUGUCUGUAAGCUCACCAGUGCAGACUGCCGGCACAUAAUUAUCCUCUCAAUUAUGGAUAUAGCACUGAGAUCACACUUGAAAAGUAGGAAGGUCUUUUGAGAAAUUUCACAACAUUGUGCACAAUUUUGGGUCUCAUCAUGAUAUUUUCACACAUGCCUGUAACUAUCUUGAUCAUAUUUACCAUUACUCUCUCUCGUGCAUUCUCAAUGGUCCCCUUAUUCUUCCAAACCUGCGUCCAGGAGAGAGAUGCUUAGCUUGACUGGUCUUAGGAAACUAGUCCGGCGGUGAGAAGUCUAAACUUUUCUGUUUGACUAUUUACUUGCACACGUGUGUCCGAGUGUGUGUAAGCACAUGUCACAGGGCAUACAGAGACAUCCGAGGAUGACUAGAGGGAGCUGAUUCUCUCCUCCCAUCGUGUGGGUUUUGGGGUUUAACUCGUGUUUUUAGGCCCGGUGGGAUGCGCCCUUACCCACCGAUCCAUCUUAUCUUCCCCGCCAAUUUCAUCUUUUAAUUAUUUUACUUUUGAGACAAGGUUUUCUUCGAAGUCCACGUUGGCCAUGGGUUUAAUAUACUCUUCGUGCCCCUGUCUCCAGAGUGCUAGGAUUACACGUACGUGCGACCAUGCUUGGUUCCUUCUCCCUUUUAAGUCCUGGAAAUACAUACGCUGGUAUUUUCCUGGGACCAGCACUUCCUGAUGCUCCGUAAUAGACUUAGUAGGUUAGCAUGCCAGAUGCGAUGAUGGUGGCGGUCCAUAUCUCUUGCUUCCUUCAUGCGGGAAUAAGCUUUUGCUGAGAAGAGAGUGGGAUGAUCCCACCUAGAAAAGCGUGCUGCCUGAGGAUGUGGAGGAGGCAGGUAUCUCUGAAGAAUAUACCCUAAACUGAAGGAUGAACAGCCAGAAUCUGAAAUCCAAUUACAGCAUUGCAUUUGAUAUUGGACAUAGAGUGAAGGAGUAACCACUCUUGAUGAUGUCAUAGUGUUGUAGUGUUGUCCUGGCAACAUGGCGGGAGACUU